UUCCGGUUGAUCCUGCCAGACCUGACUGCUAUCGGAUUGAUACUAAGCCAUGCGAGUCAUUGCAGCAAUGCAAGGCAGACGGCUCAGUAACGCGUAGUCAACCUAACCUAUGGACGGGAAUAACCUCGGGAAACUGAGUAUAAUGCCCGAUAGAACACUAUACCUGGAAUGGUUUGCGUUCCAAAUGAUUUAUCGCCGUAGGAUGGGACUGCGGCCUAUCAGUUUGUUGGUGAGGUAAUGGCCCACCAAGACUAUUACAGGUACGGGCUCUGAGAGGAGUAGCCCGGAGAUGGGUACUGAGACACGGACCCAGGCCCUAUGGGGCGCAGCAGGCGAGAAAACUUUGCAAUGUGCGAAAGCACGACAAGGUUAAUCCGAGUGGUCUCUGCUAAAGGAACCUUUUGUUAGUCCUAGAAACACUAACGAAUAAGGGGUGGGCAAGUUCUGGUGUCAGCCGCCGCGGUAAAACCAGCACCUCAAGUGGUCAGGAUGAUUAUUGGGCCUAAAGCAUCCGUAGCCGGCUCUGUAAGUUUUCGGUUAAAUCUGUACGCUCAACGUACAGGCUGCCGGGAAUACUGCAGAGCUAGGGAGUGGGAGAGGUAGACGGUACUCGGGAGGAAGUGGUAAAAUGCUUUGAUCUCUCGAUGACCACCUGUGGCGAAGGCGGUCUACCAGAACACGUCCGACGGUGAGGGAUGAAAGCUGGGGGAGCAAACCGGAUUAGAUACCCGGGUAGUCCCAGCUGUAAACUAUGCAAACUCAGUGAUGCAUUGGCUUGUGGCCAAUGCAGUAUUGCAGGGAAGCCGUUAAGUUUGCCGCCUGGGAAGUACGUACGCAAGUAUGAAACUUAAAGGAAUUGGCGGGGGAGCACCACAAGGGGUGAAGCCUGCGGUUCAAUUGGAUUCAACGCCGGA
Molecule: ribosomal RNA, 914 nt
Filed under: uncultured Nitrososphaerota archaeon
Lineage: Archaea; Thermoproteati; Nitrososphaerota
Description: bacterial SSU rRNA
Rfam family: Archaeal small subunit ribosomal RNA
Source: RNAcentral